Molecule: ribosomal RNA, 253 nt
Filed under: uncultured bacterium
Lineage: Bacteria
Description: partial 16S ribosomal RNA
Rfam family: Bacterial small subunit ribosomal RNA
Source: RNAcentral
UACGUAGGAGACGAGCGUUGUCCGGAGUUACUGGGCGUAAAGGGCGCGCAGGCGGCCGCCCGCGUGUGUGGUGAAAGCUCCUGGCUUAACUAGGAGAGGUCCAUGCAGACGGGGUGGCUUGAGCGUCGGAGAGGGGCGUGGAAUUCCGGGUGGAGCGGUGAAAUGCGUAGAGAUCCGGAGGAACACCAAUGGCGAAGGCAGUGCCCUGGCCGACGGCUGACGCUCAGGCGCGAAAGCGUGGGGAGCAAACAGG